UCAAAUCCCAAUUCCAAAGCACACAAGAAAUGAAAAGUAUGGACAUAAUGAUGACCCAAGUGUCGAACAAAAGAAAACAUGAGUUGGCUUCUAUUUUAACAUCUAAGAAUAAGCACCGUUAACAAUCUGGUUGAAAAGUGAAAUCCCACUUGUCGAUUCAAUUCAGAGCUGUGCAUCUAAAUAUAGAUUCAGAAACUCCAAAAUGUACUUGUGAAUUUCAACUAAUCCAGCUAAAAGAUGGUAAUAUUACAAAACUUGCUCAAGUAAUGUAAUAUCAGCCACAACAAAAUUGCAUACAUACACCACCUUCAACCCUAUACAUUAUGCAAAAUUAGGCCCUACAGUUCAGAAAGACCUUAAAAGAAAAAUCCCGCAUAUCCUUUCCAACGGCUGAUAUUUCUAUUUUCGAAAAAAAGGUGAUAUUUUAAGACUUGGAGACUGAUUUAUGCAACACGGUCGUUCCUUGAAAGAUCAUNCAAAUCCACUAAUGUGGACCAGUUUGGCUUUUACGGGUUUUAUAUGUCGCCAAUCCGAUGAUGGGUUGCAAUUGAGGUUAUGGUGCUUUGGUGGUGAAGGUGGCGAGAUGUGUAAUGGUGAUGCUGGUAAGAUGAAUUUUGAACUCGUGUUUUGAUGAUGGUGAUGGAAAUUGUGCACAACUGAUGGUGGUGCAGAUUUGGUGAUCAAUCGUGAUAGUGGUAGAUGGUGACUUUUUGUGAUGGUCGUCAUGAUGGAAAUAGG
This 738-nucleotide long non-coding RNA is filed under the name Olea europaea (common olive). RNAcentral's name for it is "long non-coding RNA (OEUR_LNC013265)". Lineage: Eukaryota; Viridiplantae; Streptophyta; Magnoliopsida; Lamiales; Oleaceae. The record is from RNAcentral.